This 86-nucleotide transfer RNA is filed under the name Weeksella virosa DSM 16922. Its description in RNAcentral is "tRNA-Tyr". It matches the Rfam family "tRNA". From Rfam's summary of the family: Transfer RNA (tRNA) molecules are approximately 80 nucleotides in length. Lineage: Bacteria; Pseudomonadati; Bacteroidota; Flavobacteriia; Flavobacteriales; Weeksellaceae. The record is from RNAcentral.
GGGGAGAUACUCAAGCGGCCAACGAGGACGGACUGUAAAUCCGUUGGUAUUCACCUUCGCAGGUUCGAAUCCUGCUCUCCCCACAA